Molecule: small RNA, 67 nt
Filed under: Vagococcus teuberi
Lineage: Bacteria; Bacillati; Bacillota; Bacilli; Lactobacillales; Enterococcaceae
Source: RNAcentral
ACAACUACAACCGCACGAAACAAGUAUUAAGAACGCGAGUCGCUUGUGACGGCGAGUCUAAGUAAAG